GUGCUCGUGGGCCAUGCGCGCGAGGGCGUGGAUGUCGGGCAUCCAGCCGGUGACGUUGCUGGCCCCGGUCACCGCCACGAGCUUGACCUGGUUGCUGCGCAGCAGGUCGCGGACGUGGUCCAUGUCGAGGCUGCCGUCCUCGCGGGCGCG
Molecule: transfer RNA, 150 nt
Filed under: Plesiocystis pacifica SIR-1
Lineage: Bacteria; Pseudomonadati; Myxococcota; Nannocystales; Nannocystaceae
Description: tRNA-Pro
Source: RNAcentral